UGAAAGUGAAGUCGCUCAGUCGUGUCCAACUCUUUGCAACCCCAUGGACUGUAGUCUACCAGGCUCCUCCAUCCACGGGAUUUUCCAGCCUCUUCUUCAGGUUACUCCCCUUGACCAGAAUGCUCUUUCCCCUCUUCGAUUCCUGAUAAACUUCCAUCAUCCUGUGAAAUGCUGCACAAGCAUCACCUUCUCCAUGUGAAACCUUCCUUGCCUGCUCUGUGGACCUCCUGGCAAGUCUCUGGAACACUCUUCUAUGUUAGAAUGCCCUCCAGCGGACAGACGUCUAAGAGGCAGCGUCAUUCCUGACGAGAACAGGAGCCCCUCACCGCCCCCUGGGCUCCCAACAUCGGGGGAGCGCUGAGCCAAGACUCUAGGUCCUUUGUGCCCUGCCAACUCCGGGAGGCCGGACGGAGGACAGGCUGGCUGGCUCCCCAGACUCUGCAGCCUCUGGACAUGGUGCUUCGAGGGUGAGGGGCUGGGAUGGGUCUUCUGGUUGCUAUUUUCUUCUACUUCUCCCCAAAUCCCCCCAUUCCUUCCAGGUGCUAGGAAGUCCUUCGGUUGCCACCAGAAAGCAGGCAUGACUUUUUUCCUUUGGGAGGAGUCCCUGCAGAAGACUUUUGUCACACUGCCACCCGGAAGACACAGCUGGGGCUUUCAGCCUCCUUCCCCUAGGAGCAUCAGGCUCUGGUUCUAGGGCCCAUCUCCCUUCUAGCUUCUGGGUGGAGGCCUCCCCUAGGGGAAGGAAUGGUCAGGGUUCCCAGGCCAG
Molecule: long non-coding RNA, 766 nt
Organism: Bos taurus (domestic cattle)
Lineage: Eukaryota; Metazoa; Chordata; Mammalia; Artiodactyla; Bovidae
Source: Ensembl